Molecule: long non-coding RNA, 1457 nt
Filed under: Manihot esculenta (cassava)
Lineage: Eukaryota; Viridiplantae; Streptophyta; Magnoliopsida; Malpighiales; Euphorbiaceae
Description: long non-coding RNA (MESC_LNC000451)
Source: RNAcentral
AAAUAAUUAAAAUUCCGAACUUAUAAAUUAAAAUAUAUAAAAUAUAUCUAUUUAUUUUUCUAUUUUUUAUAAAUUUUUAAGAAGAAAAGGAUAAUUUUUUGUUGGAGAAGGGUACAAAUAUUAAUUUAAAUUACAAAACCUAAAAAAAAUGAAGGAAAAUUUUUAAAAGAGAGGUGCAAAUUGCCCCAAUAUUUAUAUGUGGCUUCGCCACUGGAAGCGAGUAAUAGUAAAUAGGGUGAUUUACAAUUUAGUUCUUGGGUAUUGCCAUUAUUAACAAAUCAGUCCCUAUAUUUUUAGAAACCUAUUAAAACGUCCUUAUGUUUUAUUUCCGUCAACGAAAUAGUCCUUCCGUCCUAUUUUCCGUUAAAAUUAGAUAAAGGAGGAGAGAGAAAAUUUUUAAAAUCCAAUUUUACCCUCAAAUAAAACCAUUUAUUUAGUCCUUGUAUAUUGUAAUUAUUAACAAGUUAGUUCUUACAUUUUCAAAAAACUAUUAAAAUAUUUUUAUUUUUUUUCAUAUCUAUUAAAACGUACUUAUUAUUUUUUUCCAUCAAUGAAAUAGUCCCUAUAUUUUCUCACAUCUAUUAAAACAUCCUUAUCGUUUAUUUAAGUCAACGAAAUAGUCCCUCCUCAUCGUUUCUUUCUGUCAACGAAAUCGUUCCUCCCUAUAUUUUUAGAAAUAUAUUAAAACGUCCUUAUUGUUUCUUUUUGUCAACAAAAUAGUCCCUAUAUUUUCUCAGAUCUAUUAAAACAUCCUUAUUGUUUCUUUUUAUCAACAAAAUAGUCCCUAUCUUUUCUUUCCUCCUCCUCCUCCUCCUCCUCCUCCUCCUCCUCCGAAGAAGAAGAAGAAGAAGAAGAAGAAGAAGAAGGAGAAGAAGAAGAAGAAGGAGAGAAAGAAGAAAAAGAAGAAAAAGAAGAAGAAGAAGGAGAAGAAUGAGAAGAAGAAGAAGAAGAUAAAGAAGAAAAAGAAGAAAACGAAGCAAAAGAAGAAAAAGGAGAAGAAGCAGAAGAAGAAGGAGAAAAAAAGAAGAAAAAGAAGAAGAAGGAGAAAAAGCAGAAGAAGAAGAAGCAGAAGAAGAAGAAGAAGCAAAAGGAAGAAGAAUUGAUGAAGAAGAAAGGAGAAGGAGAAAAAUAAUUGGGGGUAAUUUAGUCUUUUACUAUAUUUUUAACGGCAAAAAUAGACAGAAGGACUAUUUCGUUGAUGGAGAGAAAACAUAAGGACGUUUUAAUAGGUUUCUAAAAAUACAGGGACUGACUUGUUAAUAAUGGCAAUACUCAGGGACUAAAUUGUAAAUCUCCCUAGUAAAUAAGAAAAAGGCAUACAGGAAACUUACAGUGAGCAAGCUCUUAAUUUCAUUCAUGCUAAAUGAUGUUUCUGUAUUCUCAUGCUGCUCCUUAAGCUCCAAAAGGAGAAUCAAGAAGUCCUUCCUUUGCUUAUCCUUUUCUGCAGUAGUCCUGCC